Molecule: long non-coding RNA, 1533 nt
Organism: Lutra lutra (Eurasian river otter)
Lineage: Eukaryota; Metazoa; Chordata; Mammalia; Carnivora; Mustelidae
Exons: 3
Source: RefSeq, a predicted model, not a curated record
UUCCCACUCUGGGUUGGGGUUGCCAGUAUGUCAGAUCACCUCUAGGGUCUCCCUUAGCACCACCACAGAACGCGGCUCUUGGAGAUGCUCACCCAGCAACGGAUGGAGAAGAUGGAGCACAGACCAAGCACAGCCAGACGUAAGAUGAAGCUGAGAGAGCUUUUCCGGAAGACUCUACCAAGGCGGCUGCCAAAUGUGGCAUCUAAGCCUGGCAUGAAAGAAGGAAAGGGAGUGUGGCAGAGGAACCAAAGAGGAAACACAGGGCCUGCAGGAUCCAAUGAAACUGCCUUCCCUGGAAUGUCAACUCCCUGACUGAAGGGCCUUUGGUCACUGGUGUAUCCCAGAACUCAGAAGAGUGCUUGGCAUACAGUAGAUGCUCAAUAAUGUGAAUGAAAAUCAUCUGAAAGACCUGCUCCUUCCUGCCUCUCUUUCCAAUUUCACUUUGAACCUGACCUCUCCAUCCUCCUGUGUUCUGCUACAUCUGUUUCUAUUCCCCAAACAUGCCAAGCUCAAGCCGGGCCUGGGGUGCUCACAUGUAACUGUUCUUUUGACUGAGAAUGCUCUUGCCUCUAAUCCUGGUAUGGCUAGCUGCUUUCAUUACUCAUAUUUCAGUUCAAAUGUCAUCACUUCAGUGAGGCCUUCCCUGAAAUAGAUAGGUCCUCCCAUCUGAUUUUAUUGUCUUCAUUGCAUGUAUUAUCUUAUUUACACGUUUAUUGGUCUGUUAUCUGUCUCUUCCCACUAUAAUAUAAGGUCCAUGAGGACAGAGACCUUGUCUGUGUUCUCAUGCCUAGAAGAGUACCAGAACAUAAAAGGUACUCAGUAUAUAUUUCUUAGAUUAAUGAAUAAGCAAAUAAACAGUAGGUAUUAUUAUUGUUUUUUCAAGAUGUAGAUUGAGAAAAACUACAAAUUUCACCCCUUUCACCUCCCCUCUUCUGUGUGAGGAAGGGGAAGUUCAUGAAUAUCCAUAUCCUUUUAGGUACUGAGCACCAGGCUCAUCACUGUCUUUUGAGGUGGGCAUUACUGUUGUCAUUUCACAACUGGUGAAGCUGAGGCUCAGAAAGGAUAUGUAACUUGCCUAAGAUCACAUGGCUGGUUGAGGAAUAUAGUCUCAAAGUCAAGUCUGUCUGACCUUAAAGUCUGUGUGCCUUCAUCAGGCUUCCUCUAAGAAGCUUUCAGGGAAAAAACCUUUGUGUUCUUCACUAUGUAAAAGAAAAAAUUGUUUGGAAAUCUCAGAUGGGUCAAGAGAACUGAUAGUUUUCUCUUCGAGAUGCUUUGCUUUGAUACCACGGCAACUGACUUUGUAGUGAUGCCAACCCCCAUCUGGGAGGUACGAUCAAGAUGGCCAGAUGACUGGCUUUUCAUUAUUUCUUUCCAUGGAUUUUUCUUCACUCCAUUUUCCUGGGGCAUCUUUGGAGAAUGGGGAAUGAAAACACAUAAAACAUUCAUAUAGUUGCUGUGAACUUGGCUCUCAGAAGAGGAUGGCUAAAGGGUAUCUUCACAUACAUUGCAAGGCUUUCUUCUUCACACUCAAUA